UCCCUGGUGUUCCAGUGGUUAAGACUCUGCACUGCCAAUGCAGCGGGCACAGGUUCAAUCCCUGGUCGGGGAG
Molecule: non-coding RNA, 73 nt
Organism: Balaenoptera musculus (blue whale)
Lineage: Eukaryota; Metazoa; Chordata; Mammalia; Artiodactyla; Balaenopteridae
Source: the annotation of a RefSeq genome assembly